This 863-nucleotide ribosomal RNA is filed under the name uncultured bacterium. Its description in RNAcentral is "bacterial SSU rRNA". It matches the Rfam family "Bacterial small subunit ribosomal RNA", at positions 60 to 917 of the family's 1533-position model. The record is from RNAcentral.
AGUCGAGCGGAGAUGAGGUGCUUGCACCUUAUCUUAGCGGCGGACGGGUGAGUAAUGCUUAGGAAUCUGCCUAUUAGUGGGGGACAACAUUCCGAAAGGAAUGCUAAUACCGCAUACGUCCUACGGGAGAAAGCAGGGGAUCUUCGGACCUUGCGCUAAUAGAUGAGCCUAAGUCGGAUUAGCUAGUUGGUGGGGUAAAGGCCUACCAAGGCGACGAUCUGUAGCGGGUCUGAGAGGAUGAUCCGCCACACUGGGACUGAGACACGGCCCAGACUCCUACGGGAGGCAGCAGUGGGGAAUAUUGGACAAUGGGGGGAACCCUGAUCCAGCCAUGCCGCGUGUGUGAAGAAGGCCUUAUGGUUGUAAAGCACUUUAAGCGAGGAGAAGGCUACUGAGACUAAUACUCUUGGAUAGUGGACGUUACUCGCAGAAUAAGCACCGGCUAACUCUGUGCCAGCAGCCGCGGUAAUACAGAGGGUGCGAGCGUUAAUCGGAUUUACUGGGCGUAAAGCGUGCGUAGGCGGCUUUUUAAGUCGGAUGUGAAAUCCCCGAGCUUAACUUGGGAAUUGCAUUCGAUACUGGGAAGCUAGAGUAUGGGAGAGGAUGGUAGAAUUCCAGGUGUAGCGGUGAAAUGCGUAGAGAUCUGGAGGAAUACCGAUGGCGAAGGCAGCCAUCUGGCCUAAUACUGACGCUGAGGUACGAAAGCAUGGGGAGCAAACAGGAUUAGAUACCCUGGUAGUCCAUGCCGUAAACGAUGUCUACUAGCCGUUGGGGCCUUUGAGGCUUUAGUGGCGCAGCUAACGCGAUAAGUAGACCGCCUGGGGAGUACGGUCGCAAGACUAAAACUCAAAUGAAUUGACGGG